RNAcentral lists this ribosomal RNA (460 nucleotides) under uncultured bacterium. RNAcentral describes it as "partial 16S ribosomal RNA". It matches the Rfam family "Bacterial small subunit ribosomal RNA", at positions 338 to 795 of the family's 1533-position model. The record is from RNAcentral.
CCUACGGGGGGCAGCAGUGAGGAAUAUUGGUCAAUGGGCGCGAGCCUGAACCAGCCAAGUCGCGUGAGGGAUGAAGGUUCUAUGGAUCGUAAACCUCUUUUAUAAGGGAAUAAAGUGCAGCAUGUAUACUGCUUUGCAUGUACCCUAUGAAUAAGGAUCGGCUAACUCCGUGCCAGCAGCCGCGGUAAUACGGAGGAUCCGAGCGUUAUCCGGAUUUAUUGGGUUGAAAGGGAGCGUAGGCGGGUUGUUAAGUCAGUUGAGAAAGUUUGCGGCUCAACCGUAGAAUUGCAGUUGAUACUGGCAGCCUUGAGUACAGUAGAGGUAGGCGGAAUUCGUGGUGUAGCGGUGAAAUGCUUAGAUAUCACGAAGAACUCCGAUUGCGAAGGCAGCCUACUGGACUGUAACUGACGCUGAUGCUCGAAAGUGUGGGUAUCAAACAGGAUUAGAUACCCUGGUAGUC